AGGUUAAGAGUAGAUUGAAGCUAAAACCAAGUUGUUAUAUGCUACCGUGGUGGGUGCGAAGAUUGACAAAUGGAGAGUCAUAAAAGGCCAAAAUUAAAUUUUAAGCAUUUAUUCGAAAAACUCGACUGUAUUGGCAAUGUACACGAUGCUGUAUAGCUGAGUAGCAUCAUUGGUUUGGGGGAAAUUAUGAACAAGCACCAAGAGCUGGCUAUUAUAUUAUUCCUCAUUUAACCUGUAUCAUAAUUAUAAGAUUUAUUGAGUAAGAAGAUAGUAUAUGGACACCACCUUUGUCCUAUAUUCUCUCGGUAAAAAAUAUCCUCUUAUCCAGUUUAAUAUUUAUAUUGGAUUUUAGUAACGCAAAGGGAUAUUGCCCUAAAGGGUUCAUAGUUAUAUGGAAUAUAACAUAAUAUUACAAUUUAAAUGUAAGA
Non-coding RNA from Schizosaccharomyces pombe (fission yeast), 428 nucleotides. NCBI's taxonomy places the organism in Eukaryota, Fungi, Ascomycota, Schizosaccharomycetes, Schizosaccharomycetales, Schizosaccharomycetaceae. The record is from the annotation of a GenBank genome assembly.